AGCGCACAGUGCCCGCUGCUCUGUGCAUUAUAUACAUCGCAGCUUUACUCCAGUAUUUAUAAUGAUGUGCUCAGCUUAGGUUGAGAUUGUUUUUUGAAUGAGGCCACACAUGACUUCCGGGAGGGAAUGCAUCUCGGUGCACAUCGGCCAGGCGGGCGUGCAGAUCGGCAACGCCUGCUGGGAGCUGUACUGCCUGGAG
Macrosteles quadrilineatus (aster leafhopper) is the source of this 199-nucleotide long non-coding RNA. RefSeq lists it as uncharacterized. The transcript has 3 exons. Lineage: Eukaryota; Metazoa; Arthropoda; Insecta; Hemiptera; Cicadellidae. The record is from RefSeq and is a predicted model, not a curated record.